RNAcentral lists this small nuclear RNA (96 nucleotides) under Sciurus vulgaris (Eurasian red squirrel). The record is from RNAcentral. Lineage: Eukaryota; Metazoa; Chordata; Mammalia; Rodentia; Sciuridae.
GCUUGCUUUGGCAAUAAUACACUAAAAUUGAGAAGAUUAGAUUUGCAUGGUCCCUGUGCAAGAAUGACACAAAUUCAUGAAACUUUUGGUAUUUUU